RNAcentral lists this ribosomal RNA (492 nucleotides) under uncultured bacterium. Its description in RNAcentral is "partial 16S ribosomal RNA". It matches the Rfam family "Bacterial small subunit ribosomal RNA", at positions 29 to 507 of the family's 1533-position model. The record is from RNAcentral.
AGUGAACGCUGGCGGUAGGCCUAACACAUGCAAGUCGAACGGCAGCACAGUAAGAGCUUGCUCUUACGGGUGGCGAGUGGCGGACGGGUGAGGAAUGCAUCGGAAUCUACUUUUUCGUGGGGGAUAACGUAGGGAAACUUACGCUAAUACCGCAUACGACCUACGGGUGAAAGCAGGGGAUCUUCGGACCUUGCGCGAUUGAAUGAGCCGAUGUCGGAUUAGCUAGUUGGCGGGGUAAAGGCCCACCAAGGCGACGAUCCGUAGCUGGUCUGAGAGGAUGAUCAGCCACACUGGAACUGAGACACGGUCCAGACUCCUACGGGAGGCAGCAGUGGGGAAUAUUGGACAAUGGGCGCAAGCCUGAUCCAGCCAUACCGCGUGGGUGAAAAAGGCCUUCGGGUUGUAAAGCCCUUUUGUUGGGAAAGAAAAGCAGCAGGUUAAUACCCCGCUGUUCUGACGGUACCCAAAGAAUAAGCACCGGCUAACUUCGUG